This 522-nucleotide long non-coding RNA is filed under the name Astyanax mexicanus (Mexican tetra). RNAcentral describes it as "lncRNA (ENSAMXG00005006364.1)". Lineage: Eukaryota; Metazoa; Chordata; Actinopteri; Characiformes; Acestrorhamphidae. The record is from RNAcentral.
AUGCUCGCUACACUUACUACAACAUUCCCUGCUGGGAUGAUCCGGCCUGGCAGGGAUCAGCUACUGAUCAGCCAAGGGAACUGUUGUCCAGUGCACUGUGUGUUUGGGCGAGCAUCAGUCAGCAUGGAAAUCACAUUUAAACUGGGAAAAAGUGCACAUAUCAGCUUUACCAUUUCAAACUGUUUGUUAUAAAUAAGAUACUUUGUUUACUUGAACAGUAAUAUAUUGUGUGUUUUUUUUUUAUCACCAGUGGAUUUAAUUGUUGAGAUGAAGCGACACUGACUUUAAUCUGAAGGGAAAUCAGGGAAAAAUAAGGGAAUAUCAGGUUAAAUCAGGGGGCGGAGCUUGUGGUUGUUUCACUGUGUAGGCCAUACUGAGAUUAUGUUAAACUGAGAAAUCUGCUCUGAGAAUUUAUGAAGGUUUUAAUGUACAGUUUAUUGUUUCCAUGUGUUUUUUUUAAUGAUUUUCUUAUUCUUCUGUUAAUUAAACUCUUUCAUUAAAUGAACGUGAAUGAAAAAAAAU